RNAcentral lists this non-coding RNA (24 nucleotides) under Arabidopsis thaliana (thale cress). Lineage: Eukaryota; Viridiplantae; Streptophyta; Magnoliopsida; Brassicales; Brassicaceae. The record is from RNAcentral.
AACCUUCGUGUCUUGUGAUCUCCC